RNAcentral lists this ribosomal RNA (442 nucleotides) under uncultured bacterium. Its description in RNAcentral is "partial 16S ribosomal RNA". It matches the Rfam family "Bacterial small subunit ribosomal RNA", at positions 338 to 795 of the family's 1533-position model. The record is from RNAcentral.
CCUACGGGUGGCAGCAGUGGGGAAUAUUGGGCAAUGGGCGCAAGCCUGACCCAGCAACGCCGCGUGAAGGAAGAAGGCUUUCGGGUUGUAAACUUCUUUUGUCAGGGAAGAGUAGAAGACGGUACCUGACGAAUAAGCCACGGCUAACUACGUGCCAGCAGCCGCGGUAAUACGUAGGUGGCAAGCGUUGUCCGGAUUUACUGGGUGUAAAGGGCGUGUAGCCGGGUUGACAAGUCAGAUGUGAAAUCCUGCGACUUAACCGCAGAACUGCAUUUGAAACUGUUGAUCUUGAGUACUGGAGAGGCAGAUGGAAUUCCUAGUGUAGCGGUGAAAUGCGUAGAUAUUAGGAGGAACACCAGUGGCGAAGGCGGUCUGCUGGACAGCAACUGACGGUGAGGCGCGAAAGCGUGGGGAGCAAACAGGAUUAGAUACCCCGGUAGUC